GGCAGUUCUUGGGUGAUGCACUCCGGAAUCGGGCUCCCUCCUCUCUGGUUCCGGCCCAUCACGAGAGAACCGCU
Molecule: non-coding RNA, 74 nt
Organism: Myotis brandtii (Brandt's bat)
Lineage: Eukaryota; Metazoa; Chordata; Mammalia; Chiroptera; Vespertilionidae
Source: Rfam